Molecule: ribosomal RNA, 1248 nt
Filed under: metagenome
Description: bacterial LSU rRNA
Rfam family: Bacterial large subunit ribosomal RNA
Source: RNAcentral
UUAUACGACCGUACCGCAAACCGACACUGGUGCGCGAGAUGAGUAUUCUGAGGCGCUUGAGAGAACUCAGGAGAAGGAACUCGGCAAAUUGACACCGUAACUUCGGAAGAAGGUGUGCCCUAUUAGUGUGUAGUGAACAACGAAGCAUGAAUGGGUUGCAAAAAAUCGGUGGCUGCGACUGUUUAUUAAAAACACAGCACUCUGCAAACACGAAAGUGGACGUAUAGGGUGUGACGCCUGCCCGGUGCUGGAAGAUUAAAUGAUGGGGUGCAAGCUCUUGAUUGAAGUCCCAGUAAACGGCGGCCGUAACUAUAACGGUCCUAAGGUAGCGGAAUUCCUCGUCGGGUAAGUUCCGACCUGCACGAAUGGCGUAACGAUGGCCACACUGUCUCCUCCUGAGACUCAGCGAAGUUGAAAUGUUUGUGAUGAUGCAAUCUCCCCGCGGAAAGACGGAAAGACCCCAUGAACCUUUACUGUAGCUUUGUAUUGGACUUUGAACAGAUCUGUGUAGGAUAGGUGGGAGGCUUUGAAGCAGGGUCGCUAGAUCUUGUGGAGCCAACGUUGAAAUACCACCCUGGUGUGUUUGAGGUUCUAACCUAGGUCCAUUAUCUGGAUCGGGGACAGUGCAUGGUAGGCAGUUUGACUGGGGCGGUCUCCUCCCAAAGCGUAACGGAGGAGUUCGAAGGUACGCUAGUUACGGUCGGACAUCGUGACGAUAGUGCAAUGGCAUAAGCGUGCUUAACUGCGAGACUGACAAGUCGAGCAGAUGCGAAAGCAGGACAUAGUGAUCCGGUGGUUCUGUAUGGAAGGGCCAUCGCUCAACGGAUAAAAGCUACUCUGGGGAUAACAGGCUGAUACCGCCCAAGAGUUCAUAUCGACGGCGGUGUUUGGCACCUCGAUGUCGGCUCAUCUCAUCCUGGGGCUGUAGCCGGUCCCAAGGGUAUGGCUGUUCGCCAUUUAAAGAGGUACGUGAGCUGGGUUUAAAACGUCGUGAGACAGUUUGGUCCCUAUCUUCCGUGGGCGCUGCAGAUUUGAGGAAGCCUGCUCCUAGUACGAGAGGACCGGAGUGGACACACCUCUGGUGUAUCGGUUGUCACGCCAGUGGCAUUGCCGAGUAGCUAAGUGUGGAAGAGAUAACCGCUGAAAGCAUCUAAGCGGGAAACUCGUUUCAAGAUGAGAUCUGCCGGGGCCUUGAGCCCCCUAAAGAGUCGUUCAAGACCAGGACGUUGAUAGGUCAGGUGUGGAAGC